Non-coding RNA from Dipodomys ordii (Ord's kangaroo rat), 65 nucleotides. The record is from Rfam. NCBI's taxonomy places the organism in Eukaryota, Metazoa, Chordata, Mammalia, Rodentia, Heteromyidae.
GGUGGCUCAGUGGUAGAGUGCUUGCCUGGCAUGCAUGAGGCCCUGGGUUCAAUUCCUCAGCACCA